RNAcentral lists this ribosomal RNA (229 nucleotides) under uncultured bacterium. RNAcentral describes it as "partial 16S ribosomal RNA". It matches the Rfam family "Bacterial small subunit ribosomal RNA", at positions 111 to 334 of the family's 1533-position model. The record is from RNAcentral.
UAAUACUUGGGCAAUCUGCCCUUGAGUGGGAAACAACCGGCCGAAAGGCUGGCUAAUGUCCCAUAAGACCACGGGAUGGCAUCAUCCAGAGGUCAAAGCUCCGCAAGGGGCGCUUGAGGAGGAGCCCGAGUCCUAUCAGCUAGUUGGUGAGGUAACGGCUCACCAAGGCUACGACGGGUAACCGGCCUGAAAGGGCGAACGGUCACACUGACACUGAGACACGGGUCAG